AGCUCGGUAGCUUAGUUGGUAAAGCAUUCAUCUAGCAUACAAGAGUCGAGGGUUCGAAUCCCACCCGAGCAC
This 72-nucleotide transfer RNA is filed under the name Aedes aegypti (yellow fever mosquito). It matches the Rfam family "tRNA". Rfam says of the family: Transfer RNA (tRNA) molecules are approximately 80 nucleotides in length. Their secondary structure includes four short double-helical elements and three loops (D, anti-codon, and T loops). The record is from Rfam by way of RNAcentral. Lineage: Eukaryota; Metazoa; Arthropoda; Insecta; Diptera; Culicidae.